Molecule: ribosomal RNA, 453 nt
Filed under: uncultured bacterium
Lineage: Bacteria
Description: bacterial SSU rRNA
Rfam family: Bacterial small subunit ribosomal RNA
Source: RNAcentral
AGUCGAACGGAAAGGCCGAAGCUUGCUUCGGUACUCGAGUGGCGAACGGGUGAGUAACACGUGGGUGAUCUGCCCUGUACUUCGGGAUAAGCUUGGGAAACUGGGUCUAAUACCGGAUAUGACGAUCUCUUGGAUGGGGUUGUGGAAAGCUUUUGCGGUAUGGGAUGAGCUCGCGGCCUAUCAGCUUGUUGGUGGGGUAAUGGCCUACCAAGGCGUCGACGGGUAGCCGGCCUGAGAGGGUGUACGGCCACAUUGGGACUGAGAUACGGCCCAGACUCCUACGGGAGGCAGCAGUGGGGAAUAUUGCACAAUGGGCGCAAGCCUGAUGCAGCGACGCCGCGUGGGGGAUGACGGCCUUCGGGUUGUAAACUCCUUUCGCAAUCGACGAAGCCUUUUGGUGACGGUAGGUUGAGAAGAAGCACCGGCUAACUACGUGCCAGCAGCCGCGGUAAU